GAUGAACGCYGGCGGCGUGCUUAACACAUGCAAGUCGAACGAAGCACUUAAAUGGAAUUCUUCGGAAGGAAGCUUAAGUGACUGAGUGGCGGACGGGUGAGUAACGCGUGGGUAACCUGCCUCAUACAGGGGGAUAACAGUUAGAAAUGACUGCUAAUACCGCAUAAGCACACGUGAUCGCAUGAUCAAGUGUGAAAAACUCCGGUGGUAUGAGAUGGACCCGCGUCUGAUUAGCUGGUUGGUGGGGUAACGGCCUACCAAGGCGACGAUCAGUAGCCGGCCUGAGAGGGUGACCGGCCACAUUGGGACUGAGACACGGCCCAAACUCCUACGGGAGGCAGCAGUGGGGAAUAUUGCACAAUGGGGGAAACCCKGAUGCAGCGACGCCGCGUGAAGGAUGAAGUAUUUCGGUAUGUAAACUUCUAUCAG
RNAcentral lists this ribosomal RNA (429 nucleotides) under uncultured bacterium. Its description in RNAcentral is "bacterial SSU rRNA". It matches the Rfam family "Bacterial small subunit ribosomal RNA", at positions 28 to 439 of the family's 1533-position model. The record is from RNAcentral.